GUCCCUUCGGGGACAACCAAUAAAAUUGGAAUGAUACAGAGAAGAUUAGCGUGGCCCAUGCGCAUGGAUGACACGCCCAAAUCGAGAAAUGGUCCAAAUUUUU
This is a small nuclear RNA of Lupinus angustifolius (narrow-leaved blue lupine), 103 nucleotides long. Lineage: Eukaryota; Viridiplantae; Streptophyta; Magnoliopsida; Fabales; Fabaceae. The record is from Rfam.